UUUCAGUCUGAGUUAAAUCUCUUUUUGCUAAUUGUAUCAGUAAUAGAAAAGGAGCCUCAUAAUUAUGUACACUUGAAUAUAAGGCGUGGUUCAUUUCCAGCCUUUAUGAACAAUUAUAUAUCACUUAUAAAUGAUUAAAUACAAAAUGAAUAGUAGUUAAGAUUUAAUGUGGUUUGGAAUUGGUAAAAUGUUAGUGGAAAAAAAAAAUAUGAUCAGAAAAUCGAAGUGCGUGCAAAAUUAUUAGGCACAAUCUUUAUACUAAUGUGACACUUUUGUGACAAUUAUUUACUCUUUUUGAGUAACCGAAGAUAUUCUAUAUAUUUUUGGGUGCUCAAAGACAAAAUAAUUGCCACAAAAAUCUGUCACAUUAAUUAUAAAGAUUUAAAGAUAUAACCACUAAAAGAUUGUGAAUGUAUAGAUUACAUUUUAGGCUUUUUGUAAUCAGUUUUUGUGGAUUAUUUUUUGUUAUUGUUGUUGUUGCCCUAAGCCCCACUUCAUUUCUGACCCUUUGCCCAUCUCUAAUACACAUUCAGUGACACUCAAUGAUCUUUAAAGGGUUAGUUCUCCCAAAAAUGAAAUGAUUUACUCACCCUCAAGUCAUCCUAGGUGUAUAUGAUAUUCUCCUUCCAGAUGAAUAAAAUUUGAUUUGCAUUCAAAAAAUAUCCUUGCUCUUCCAAGCGUUAUGAUGGCAGUGAAUGGCUGUUUCUGUUUUGAAGUCCAUAAAAGUGCAUCUAUCCAUCAUAAAAGUGCUCCUUCUGAAGUGAAGCAAUGCUUUCGUGUGAGAGAAAUAUCCACAUUUAAAACUUUAUUAACUAAAAUAACUAGCUUCCGACAGAUGGCCAUAUGACAGAAUGUCAUAUACACCUAGGAUGACUUGAGGGUGAGUAAAUCAUGGGCUAAUUUAAAUUUUUGUCUAUCCCUUUAAGUAAUCAUGCAGAAGUAAAUCAUAAUUAAAAUGAUUUAUUUCUCUCUUACAGACAACAGACAUUGUAUCAUAAAGAUACUCUACGGCUCUACAGGGACUCACUCCCCUUGUACCUCAGGGAGCGAGAUGCAAUAUCAAAGACUUGUGUGGACACUGAUUUAGAGGAGACGUACACAAGAGGAGUGAAACUGGGCAUUCUUGAAGUCAUGGAGGACAAUCUCUCGCAGGCAACAAAGAGAUGUCAAAACCUCGCCAUCAUCCUGGAGGAAACUGUGGUUGUGGAGGACGUACCUGACUUUCCCACUGCUUUCAUGG
Megalobrama amblycephala (Wuchang bream) is the source of this 1240-nucleotide long non-coding RNA. RefSeq lists it as uncharacterized. NCBI's taxonomy places the organism in Eukaryota, Metazoa, Chordata, Actinopteri, Cypriniformes, Xenocyprididae. The transcript is spliced from 2 exons. The record is from RefSeq and is a predicted model, not a curated record.